This 407-nucleotide ribosomal RNA is filed under the name uncultured bacterium. RNAcentral's name for it is "partial 16S ribosomal RNA". It matches the Rfam family "Bacterial small subunit ribosomal RNA", at positions 30 to 526 of the family's 1533-position model. The record is from RNAcentral.
AUUGAACGCUGGCGGCAGGCCUAACACAUGCAAGUCGAGCGGAGCGGCGGACGGGUGAGUAAUGCCUAGGAAUCUGCCUGGUAGUGGGGGAUAACGUCCGGAAACGGGCGCUAAUACCGCAUCCUAUCAGAUGCGCCUGGGUCGGGUUAGCUAGUGGUGGGGGUAAAGGCCUACCAAGGCGACGAUCCGUAACUGGUCUGAGAGGAUGAGAAGGCACACUGGAACUGAGACACGGUCCAGACUCCUACGGGAGGCAGCAGUGGGGAAUAGUGGACAAUGGGCGAAAGCCUGAUCCAGCCAUGCCGCGUGGAUGAAGAAGGUCUUCGGAUUGUAAAGCACUUUAAGUUGGGAGGCGUUACCAACAGAAUAAGCACCGGCUAACUCCGUGCCAGCAGCCGCGGUAAUUC